RNA transcript from Vigna unguiculata (cowpea), 3119 nucleotides. It is a transcript of the gene named transcription factor MYB3R-3-like, with no coding region annotated. NCBI's taxonomy places the organism in Eukaryota, Viridiplantae, Streptophyta, Magnoliopsida, Fabales, Fabaceae. The record is from RefSeq and is a predicted model, not a curated record.
CUCCGUUUUUAUAUUUUAAAACUAAAUUUUAAUUUCCAUUGUUUCAACGUUCGAGGAUUUUUCGAAACCUUAGCUCAGAGAAGAGAGAAAGAAAGGGAGAGAAGCCAUCGUGGUCUCUCUUCUAUGAGCUUCACUUCGAUUCCCGCCACUUCUCUGCAAGCAUAGGAUUUUGAGCUCUUGAAGCAUAUGGCUGAGGUGGUGAAAUCGGAGGAGUGUUGCCAGGAGAAUAAGCAGUCCACUGCUGCUUCCUGCUCCUCUGUAUCUGAAGGCAGUGGCAGUGCAAUUCACAAGUCUCCAGGGAUAUGUAGCCCUGCAUCCACAUCACCUUCCCAUCGGAGGACAACUGGUCCUAUCAGGCGUGCUAAGGGUGGUUGGACAGCACAGGAGGAUGAAACAUUAAGGAAUGCUGUGGCAGUUUUUAAGGGAAAAAGUUGGAAGAAAAUAGCUGAGUUUUUUCCUGAUAGAUCAGAAGUCCAGUGUUUGCAUAGAUGGCAAAAAGUUCUUAAUCCAGAACUUGUUAAAGGACCUUGGACACAAGAGGAGGAUGAUAAAAUUGUUGAAUUGGUGACAAAAUAUGGGCCAACAAAAUGGUCUUUGAUAGCCCAGUCUUUACCUGGUCGAAUAGGCAAACAAUGUCGAGAGCGGUGGCACAAUCAUCUUAACCCUGAGAUAAAGAAGGAUGCCUGGACUUUGGAGGAGGAAUUAGCCCUGAUGAAUGCUCAUCGCAUACAUGGGAACAAAUGGGCUGAAAUAGCUAAGGUCCUUCAUGGAAGGACUGAUAAUGCAAUAAAGAAUCAUUGGAAUAGUUCUUUAAAGAAAAAGUUAGAUUUUUAUUUAGCUACAGGAAGACUUCCACCAAUUCCCAAGAAUAGUCCACAAGUUACUGUUAAAGAUACAAUUAGACGUUCUGCUAGUAAAUCAAUACUUGUUUAUUCAAAUAAAGAAUUAAAUGCAGCUGUUGAAACAUCAUCUGAAACUACAGCCAUUAGCAAGCUAGAUGACAGUGGCAGGAAUCAAUUUGAGUCCUCGGUAACAGUUAGAGAAGUUGGUGAUUCUUCAAGUGUUCCUGCAAAUGAAUCUGCCGAUUCUGACUGUGUAGAAUGCAAGCCUGGAUCUUCCAACAUCGAUCUUAGCUGUAGCAACUCAGAACAAGUGUCAAAAGCUAAUUGGGCAAUAACUUAUGGGCCAAGACCUGACAAUUCUGGACUCAAUGGAAACUCAACUUUUGAGCAUUGUACAAACAAUGGUAACAUGAGCACUACGAGGUUAAUUGGAACAUCUUUGCAAGAAAGUCCAACCUGUGGUUCUCUGUGUUAUGAGCCACCACAGUUACAUGGUUCAGUUCCCAUAGAUUCUCUUUAUUUAAAUUAUAUCUGCCAGCAGAAUGAGUUUUGUUCGAGUCCAACUUUGUCACCUCUUGGUUUCUUCACCCCACCUCGUGUAAAGGGUGAUGAAUUAUGCACUGAGACACCUGAAUCAAUUUUGAAAAGGGCUGCCAAUACUUUUCCAAAUACUCCUUCCAUAUUGAGGAGGAGGAAAACUGGGUUCCAAGCACUCACUAGUCCCAGUAAAGUUUUGAAGGUAGAUAAUGAUACACGUUCUUCUAAUGAAACAGAGAGAACCAAUGAUGAUUCUGGUUCUAGGCAUUUCUCCAGGAGUCCGGCAAGCCAUGGCAAUGUGAUUGACAUUCCCAGUAAUAAGACAUUCAAUGCAUCUCCCCCAUAUAGGUUAAGAUCCAAGCGAACAGGGAUUGUUAAGUCAGUGGAGAAACAACUGGAGUUUGCUUUUGACAAAGAGAAGAAUGAUGACAAGAGAAGCAAUGUCAUGACGGAAGAUUGUCUCCAUGAAAAAAAAUUGGUUGCCACGUAGUGCUAAAAAAUUGUCAAUCUCUUGUUGAGGAGUUAAAGAUGUUCUUAGCUGACUCACAAGGAGAAAUCAAGCAGACGUUGGACAAGUUAUAUUUUGUUGUGAUCCUCUAUAUGUGCUACUUCUUGUGUCUUUGGUUGUGUUUUGUACAUGGCAUGUUUCCAAAUCUGAACAAAGUCUUUGAAAGAGGCAUUAAAUUGUGUUCCUAGAACAUUGUCGCCUCCAAAAAGGUACCAUUGUUAUUCUCUUGAAACAAAAAAUACCAUUUUUGCAAGUUUCACCUUUUUUAAAGAGACGUCUUUCUUCCCUAAUCAUUAAGAAGUUGACUCUGUACAACAUGUCUUACUAGUGGUUCAACCCUUGUUACUUGCUCCUCAUGACUGGUUCAGUCAACCCACCUGUCCCAGUUCGUGUCCUACUUUGGAAGCUAACUCACUAGAAUCAUUGUUGCAACCUAUCAUCACCGUUGGCCAAAAGUGACUCGUCCAAUAUUACAUGGGAUCAUGAUUGGACUUGGUGUUGAAACUGGCUGAUUGUUUUCUAAAUUGUUUGAAAUGCUUACCAAUUUUAUAAAGAAUUCAGUGCACAGGUCAGAAUGACAUGCACUUGUCCACACCUCAACAACAUAAUUCAGCAACAGUAGGGGUCUGGUAUGUGUAGAAUAAGAAUUGAAAAGUUCCAUUUACUUGUGGAUACAUAUAGCUAGUUGUAUUUAUCAUAUUUGUACAGUUGUCUUAGGAAAAAUAAAUUUUCUCAAGUGUCAUCAAUGUUCUUAGAUUCCUUCAAUCAUUUUUCUAAAUAAUUUCUGGCCCGAGCUACUAAUAAGUGUGUAAUCCUUACUUUAUCGCACCAGCUGGUUUGAUGUACACUUUACAUUGAAAUUACUCUGAUAAUCACUGAGGUGCUGCAUAUGGAAAUAGAACAUGCUCAACCUGAAAUGCAAUCUGGGUAUUUUAGAAAAAAAAAAAAAAACUAUUUUGUUGGCGUAGUUUGUCUGAUAAAAGAAAAAGAAAAAUAAAUGUUGCAGCAAACUACCAAGCUCCUGUACGAUAAGGACAAAAGGAAUUUUCAGUGGAGUGGCAAAAUGCUUAUAGAUAGGAAAGAACACCAACUCUAUUUGGCAGUAAAUGAGAUUAAAUACUUAUGUAGUUCUAGCACCGAAUGAUAGAGAUACUAGCCGAUAAUGUGUAUCUACCUAAGAAUGUUGUAAUUAGACCUUAAAUUGAUGUUUAGUAUGAGUUUAUUCUGAAUAA